RNAcentral lists this ribosomal RNA (253 nucleotides) under uncultured bacterium. RNAcentral's name for it is "partial 16S ribosomal RNA". It matches the Rfam family "Bacterial small subunit ribosomal RNA", at positions 524 to 776 of the family's 1533-position model. The record is from RNAcentral.
UACGUAGGGUGCAAGCGUUAAUCGGAAUUACUGGGCGUAAAGCGUGCGCAGGCGGUUGUGCAAGACCGAUGUGAAAUCCCCGGGCUUAACCUGGGAAUGGCAUUGGUGACUGCACGGCUAGAGUGUGUCAGAGGGGGGUAGAAUUCCACGUGUAGCAGUGAAAUGCGUAGAGAUGUGGAGGAAUACCGAUGGCGAAGGCAGCCCCCUGGGAUAACACCGACGCUCAUGCACGAAAGCGUGGGGAGCAAACAGG